Long non-coding RNA from Amphimedon queenslandica, 291 nucleotides. RefSeq lists it as uncharacterized. The record is from RefSeq and is a predicted model, not a curated record. The transcript has 3 exons. NCBI's taxonomy places the organism in Eukaryota, Metazoa, Porifera, Demospongiae, Haplosclerida, Niphatidae.
GUAACAAACCACUUACCAUUCGUUUGGGUACUCAUCAAGUUAUUGAAGGGUUGGAAGUAGGUGUGGCUAGCAUGAGAAAGGAGGAGGUGUCUCAGUUUCUUGUGAAGUCUCCCUACGCCUUUGGGGACAUGGGUUGUCCCCCACGAAUACCGCCUGCAGCUUCAAUUCUUUUUGAAGUCGAAGUCCUCUCCUUUGUUGAUCACAGUGCUGCUGACAGUUAUGACGAAUUACCUGAUGAGGAUAAAGCCAAAGUUAGCCUUAAGGAAAUUGUAAAUGUCGCCAAUGCAGAGA